AUACGGAGGGUGCAAGCGUUACUCGGAAUCACUGGGCGUAAAGCGCGCGCAGGCGGCUAUUUAAGUUGGAUGUGAAAGCCUACGGCUCAACCGUAGAACUGCAUCCAAAACUAUUUAGCUAGAGUGUGCGAGAGGAAGAUGGAAUUAGUUGUGUAGGGGUAAAAUCCGUAGAGAUAACUAGGAAUACCAAAAGCGAAGGCAAUCUUCUGGAACACUACUGACGCUAAGGCGUGAAAGCGUGGGGAGCAAACAGCAUUAGAAACCCCUGUAGUCC
Molecule: ribosomal RNA, 274 nt
Filed under: uncultured bacterium
Lineage: Bacteria
Description: partial 16S ribosomal RNA
Rfam family: Bacterial small subunit ribosomal RNA
Source: RNAcentral